Molecule: unclassified non-coding RNA, 148 nt
Organism: Papio anubis (olive baboon)
Lineage: Eukaryota; Metazoa; Chordata; Mammalia; Primates; Cercopithecidae
Rfam family: Metazoan signal recognition particle RNA
About the family: The signal recognition particle (SRP) is a universally conserved ribonucleoprotein. It is involved in the co-translational targeting of proteins to membranes.
Source: Ensembl
GCUGGGUGUGGUGGUGCAUGCCUGUAAUCCCAGCUACUCGGGAGGCUGAGGUAGGAGAAUUGCUUGAACCCAGGACGGGGAGGUUACAGUGAGCCAAGAUCGUGCCAUUGUACUCCAGCCUGGGUAACAGAGCGAGAUUCCAUCUCAA